This 721-nucleotide ribosomal RNA is filed under the name Micropygomyia chassigneti. RNAcentral describes it as "partial 12S ribosomal RNA". Lineage: Eukaryota; Metazoa; Arthropoda; Insecta; Diptera; Psychodidae. The record is from RNAcentral.
AUAUUAUUUAUUUAAGAAAUUAUGAAUUAGUAAUUUAAUUUAAUAUAGAUAUAUUUUGUGCCAGCAAUCGCGGUUAUACAAAAUAUAUAAAUAAAUUAUAUUAAAAAAAAAUAUAUAAUAAAUAUUUUUAUUAUAGUCUGUAUAUGAAAUAUAGUAAAAAUUAGUAAUAAUAAAUUUUAAUGUUUAAUUUAUAUUAUUAGGUAAAAUUUUAAUAUUAUAAAAAUUUUAAAUAAUAUUUAUAUUUAUUUUAUAAAUUUUUUUAUAAACUAGGAUUAGAUACCCUAUUAUUAAAAUAUAAAAAUGAUUUUUGGAUUAGUAUUAAAUAUAUUUAUGAAAUUAAAAUAAUUUGGCGGUAUUUUAGUCUAUUUAGAGGAAUUUGUUUUAUAAUCGAUAAUCCUCGUUUUAUCUUACUUAUUUUAUUAAAUUUGUAUAUCGUUAUCAUUAGAAUAUUUUAAAAGAAUAAUAAUUUUCUAAAAUUUUAUAAAAUUUUAUGUUAAAUCAAGGUGCAGUUUAUAUUUAAGUAAAAAUGAAUUACAAUAAAAUUUAAUUAAUAUGGAUUAAAAUUUGAAAAAAUUUUAUGAAGGUGGAUUUAAUAGUAAAUUAAAAAAGUAUAUUUAAUUGAUUUUAGCUCUAAAAUAUGUACAUAUUGCCCGUCGCUCUUAUUAUUAAAAUAAGAUAAGUCGUAACAAAGUAGAGGUAUUGGAAAAUGUCUCUAGAUGAU